GUGAAUCAUCAAAUUUUUGAACGCAAAUUGCACUCCCUGGUAUGCCUGGGAGUAUGCCUGUUUGAGGGUCGUUAGAAUAAAAAAUCGAGGCGUCGCUCUUUUGUUUAAGGUUGAUCGCGUCCAUAAUAAUUUCUUUAACUUACCUCAGACAGGUAAUAGUACCCGCUGAACUUAAGCAUAUCAAUAAGCGGAUGA
This 195-nucleotide unclassified non-coding RNA is filed under the name Glomeraceae sp. RNAcentral describes it as "partial contains 5.8S ribosomal RNA, internal transcribed spacer 2, and large subunit ribosomal RNA". The stretch from base 1 to 71 matches the Rfam family "5.8S ribosomal RNA", at positions 84 to 154 of the family's 154-position model. The record is from RNAcentral. Lineage: Eukaryota; Fungi; Glomeromycota; Glomeromycetes; Glomerales; Glomeraceae.